CAAGCCCUGGAAACGGGGUCUAAUACCGGAUGGGACUGCCGGCCGCAUGGUCUGGUGGUGGAAAGCGUUUAGUGGUGCAGGAUGAGCCCGCGGCCUAUCAGCUUGUUGGUGGGGUGAGUGCCUACCAAGGCGACGACGGGUAGCCGGCCUGAGAGGGCGACCGGCCACACUGGGACUGAGACACGGCCCAGACUCCUACGGGAGGCAGCAGUGGGGAAUAUUGCACAAUGGGCGGAAGCCUGAUGCAGCGACGCCGCGUGAGGGAUGACGGCCUUCGGGUUGUAAACCUCUUUCAGCAGGGAAGAAGCCGCAAGUGACGGUACCUGCAGAAGAAGCACCGGCUAACUACGUGCCAGCAGCCGCGGUAAUACGUAGGGUGCAAGCGUUGUCCGGAAUUAUUGGGCGUAAAGAGCUCGUAGGCGGCGUGUCACGUCGGAUGUGAAAGCCCGGGGCUUAACCCCGGGUUUGCAUUCGAUACGGGCAGGCUAGAGUUCGGUAGGGGAGAUCGGAAUUCCUGGUG
Molecule: ribosomal RNA, 520 nt
Filed under: uncultured Streptomyces sp.
Lineage: Bacteria; Bacillati; Actinomycetota; Actinomycetes; Kitasatosporales; Streptomycetaceae
Description: bacterial SSU rRNA
Rfam family: Bacterial small subunit ribosomal RNA
Source: RNAcentral